UUGAGCCCUAUGAGGCGAAAGUCUCACGUACGGUUCCUUAGGGGGCGAUGUGCCGUAAUGUGCUGUUGCUACCCGGC
Non-coding RNA from Candidatus Burkholderia brachyanthoides, 77 nucleotides. The record is from Rfam. Lineage: Bacteria; Pseudomonadati; Pseudomonadota; Betaproteobacteria; Burkholderiales; Burkholderiaceae.